Molecule: ribosomal RNA, 1439 nt
Filed under: Salmonella enterica subsp. enterica serovar Typhimurium
Lineage: Bacteria; Pseudomonadati; Pseudomonadota; Gammaproteobacteria; Enterobacterales; Enterobacteriaceae
Description: partial 23S ribosomal RNA
Rfam family: Bacterial large subunit ribosomal RNA
Source: RNAcentral
AGCAUGUGUGUUAGUGGAAGCGUCUGGAAAGGUGCGCGAUACAGGGUGACAGCCCCGUACACAAAAGCGCAUGUGCUGUGAGCUCGAUGAGUAGGGCGGGACACGUGGUAUCCUGUCUGAAUAUGGGGGGACCAUCCUCCAAGGCUAAAUACUCCUGACUGACCGAUAGUGAACCAGUACCGUGAGGGAAAGGCGAAAAGAACCCCGGCGAGGGGAGUGAAAAAGAACCUGAAACCGUGUACGUACAAGCAGUGGGAGCACCCUUCGGGGUGUGACUGCGUACCUUUUGUAUAAUGGGUCAGCGACUUAUAUUCUGUAGCAAGGUUAACCGUAUAGGGGAGCCGGAGGGAAACCGAGUCUUAACCGGGCGUUAAGUUGCAGGGUAUAGACCCGAAACCCGGUGAUCUAGCCAUGGGCAGGUUGAAGGUUGGGUAACACUAACUGGAGGACCGAACCGACUAAUGUUGAAAAAUUAGCGGAUGACCUGUGGCUGGGGGUGAAAGGCCAAUCAAACCGGGAGAUAGCUGGUUCUCCCCGAAAGCUAUUUAGGUAGCGCCUCGUGAAUUCAUCUCCGGGGGUAGAGCACUGUUUCGGCUAGGGGGCCAUCCCGGCUUACCAACCCGAUGCAAACUGCGAAUACCGGAGAAUGUUAUCACGGGAGACACACGGCGGGUGCUAACGUCCGUCGUGAAGAGGGAAACAACCCAGACCGCCAGCUAAGGUCCCAAAGUCAUGGUUAAGUGGGAAACGAUGUGGGAAGGCCCAGACAGCCAGGAUGUUGGCUUAGAAGCAGCCAUCAUUUAAAGAAAGCGUAAUAGCUCACUGGUCGAGUCGGCCUGCGCGGAAGAUGUAACGGGGCUAAACCAUGCACCGAAGCUGCGGCAGCGAACGUAUCACCCAAGACAACUUUACGGAGUUGACGAUUGACGGAGCGAAGCGACGUCAAAGCGUUCAUUAAAGUCGAGUUGGCUUAGGGAUACGUUCGUUGGGUAGGGGAGCGUUCUGUAAGCCUGUGAAGGUGUGUCGUGAGGCAUGCUGGAGGUAUCAGAAGUGCGAAUGCUGACAUAAGUAACGAUAAAGCGGGUGAAAAGCCCGCUCGCCGGAAGACCAAGGGUUCCUGUCCAACGUUAAUCGGGGCAGGGUGAGUCGACCCCUAAGGCGAGGCCGAAAGGCGUAGUCGAUGGGAAACGGGUUAAUAUUCCCGUACUUGGUGUUACUGCGAAGGGGGGACGGAGAAGGCUAUGUUGGCCGGGCGACGGUUGUCCCGGUUUAAGCGUGUAGGUGUGUGUUCCAGGUAAAUCCGGUUCACUUUAACACUGAGGCGUGACGACGAGGCACUACGGUGCUGAAGCAACAAAUGCCCUGCUUCCAGGAAAAGCCUCUAAGCAUCAGGUAACACGAAAUCGUACCCCAAACCGACACAGGUGGUCAGGUAGAGA